GCGGGUAUAGUUCAGUGGUAGAACGCAACCUUCCCAAGGUUGAUGUCAGGGGUUCGAAUCCCCUUACCCGCUCAA
RNAcentral lists this transfer RNA (75 nucleotides) under Anaerolineae bacterium. Its description in RNAcentral is "tRNA-Gly". It matches the Rfam family "tRNA". From Rfam's summary of the family: Transfer RNA (tRNA) molecules are approximately 80 nucleotides in length. Lineage: Bacteria; Bacillati; Chloroflexota; Anaerolineae. The record is from RNAcentral.